CCGACCGCACACGCGUGCGCCCGCGGCAUCGUCGAAACCUUGUUUUAAAGUGUGCGUAAAACUUUCUCCGUUUGAGCUGAAACUUGGUGUGCAGUAUUAAUUUAGUGUAGGUUGGCCGUCCGUCAAAUUUUAUCGCGAUCGGACCUCGUUUGUCACACGUGCUGUUUAUGAUAUAGCGGCACUAUAGCCGGUCAAUUGUCGGACGUUUCGGUAUUUUUAAACUCUGUCACCGGGUUGCCCGUUAUUCCCUUGUCAUCUCCGCUUAGCGCCUCUGCUCAGUGCACCGCCCCUACGCGCAUCCCAGUCCGAAACCUCCCGGCGCCCGAAACACACGGUUGUGACCGUUGGAUCCGGUUCAACCCCGUAAUACCGCAAACCAUCAUCGGUUUGUCCAUUGGACUCCCUAACCUAGUUAUUCUCGACCGUCUGAUCUGCAUCGGAGGGUCCUGAUAGUCUAGCCCAAUGCAAUAUCUUUGUAUAAAAGAGGUUCAACCCUAAUUCCUAGGGAUCUUGUCCCAUCACCGCCGCCGCCGCCACUCCUGUUUCCUCGGGAUCUCGUUCCCCUGCCCAACCAGCAAGAAGCAUGCCCCGAUGCCACCUUCUACUCUGCGUGUUGAACGCGUCCAGGAGCCGGCAGAUGCCAGAGUCCGUCACCGCAGCUGAGCCGCCCCAUGGGGCCUUGAUCCAAUAACUGGAGCAUCCAUAGCCCCCUCGUCGUCCGAGCCAAGCCAACCCCGCUACCGUUCCGGUCGCUGCUACCUCGGCCAGGAGCGCCCCCAUGUCCAGAGCUGCUUCGUACACGCGCCCGGCGCCAGCAACAGCAACAGCAGUCCCAACCCCAGCCGGCGCUUCCGAUCUAGAACGGGGGCAGCAAGCUCUUGAGGCCAGCCUCGCCGGCAGCACCACGCCCA
Long non-coding RNA from Hordeum vulgare subsp. vulgare (domesticated barley), 911 nucleotides. RefSeq lists it as uncharacterized. The record is from RefSeq and is a predicted model, not a curated record. The transcript has 2 exons. NCBI's taxonomy places the organism in Eukaryota, Viridiplantae, Streptophyta, Magnoliopsida, Poales, Poaceae.